GACGAACGCUGGCGGCGUGCUUAACACAUGCAAGUCGAACGGAAAGGCCCUGCUUUUGUGGGGUGCUCGAGUGGCGAACGGGUGAGUAACACGUGAGUAACCUGCCCUUGACUUUGGGAUAACUUCAGGAAACUGGGGCUAAUACCGGAUAGGAGCUCCUGCUGCAUGGUGGGGGUUGGAAAGUUUCGGCGGUUGGGGAUGGACUCGCGGCUUAUCAGCUUGUUGGUGGGGUAGUGGCUUACCAAGCCUUUGACGGGUAGCCGGCCUGAGAGGGUAACCGGCCACAUUGGGACUGAGAUACGGCCCAGACUCCUACGGGAGGCAGCAGUGGGGAAUAUUGCACAAUGGGCGGAAGCCUGAUGCAGCAACGCCGCGUGCGGGAUGACGGCCUUCGGGUUGUAAACCGCUUUCGCCUGUGACGAAGCGUGAGUGACGGUAAUGGGUAAAGAAGCACCGGCUAACUACGUG
Molecule: ribosomal RNA, 468 nt
Filed under: uncultured bacterium
Lineage: Bacteria
Description: partial 16S ribosomal RNA
Rfam family: Bacterial small subunit ribosomal RNA
Source: RNAcentral